Long non-coding RNA from Cyphomyrmex costatus, 802 nucleotides. RefSeq lists it as uncharacterized. The record is from RefSeq and is a predicted model, not a curated record. Lineage: Eukaryota; Metazoa; Arthropoda; Insecta; Hymenoptera; Formicidae. The transcript has 3 exons.
UAUUCCUAUUCAUGCAAGCACCAGAAAUUUUUACCAGUCAAAAAGAAUCUCGUACUAAGUGUUAAGAGGAACUGUCAAUCAUGACGUGACUUAGCAUGUGUAUUUGGGACGUGUGAAAAAGAUUAUCUUCCUCAAGAGAGGUGCCACGGAUCUUCUCGAUUCGAAUUUUAGAAAGAGUGCCACGGGCGAGAAAAAAGUUUGAUGUUGAAUCGAUAGGAGAAAUUUGCUAGCAAAUCCGAUGUUUCUUGCAAAGAUACGAAAGUAACGAGCGAAGCAAUCUGCGAGGCUUUGCAAGGAUUGAACUGCUGCGGAGUAGAUUAUUUUGUCAAACGGAACUACUGAUCAAGAAGGUGACUUCGCAUUCAAUGUAUGUACGUGCACGGAUUUCAUCUCCGGUUGCAGAGUACCCUGAAGUUCAGCGAACGGCACGACUAUCUCGAAUCUCGCGAUUCAGGAGAUCAUCACGAGUGGAAUGGGGGAUUUUCAAAAGGACGAAACGGAUUAUCGAGAGUGCCGCAAUGUGGAAAAGAAUAAAGCGCCGCCAUAUUGUAACACUCUGCUGUCGGGCAGGAAUGACCAUGAAUAUCAAGAUUUUAACAUCACAAAUCCACUUUUAGCUCAUGAAUUAGUUUAAUGUACUACUAAAUGAGAAAAGUUAUGUGUAACGAUGUCUAUCCAUACAAGGGUUUGUAUGUAAUUUUCAAGUUUACGCCUCAGUAAGUAUAAACGAUAACAACUUCCACACAAAAUCUCGUGAUAAGAUAGAAAUAGAAUUCAUAAUAUUUAAGUAUACCACCAUACA